UUGCUUCGGCAGCACAUAUUCUAAAACUGGAACAGUUUAAAGAUUGGCAUGGCCCCUAUACAAAGACAACAGCACAUUCAUGAAGUGAGUUAAAUUUAA
Molecule: small nuclear RNA, 99 nt
Filed under: Saimiri boliviensis boliviensis (Bolivian squirrel monkey)
Lineage: Eukaryota; Metazoa; Chordata; Mammalia; Primates; Cebidae
Source: RNAcentral